RNAcentral lists this non-coding RNA (27 nucleotides) under Homo sapiens (human). The record is from RNAcentral. Lineage: Eukaryota; Metazoa; Chordata; Mammalia; Primates; Hominidae.
UGGCCAGAAGGAGGAGCCAAGACCCAC